This 443-nucleotide ribosomal RNA is filed under the name uncultured bacterium. RNAcentral describes it as "partial 16S ribosomal RNA". It matches the Rfam family "Bacterial small subunit ribosomal RNA", at positions 338 to 795 of the family's 1533-position model. The record is from RNAcentral.
CCUACGGGCGGCAGCAGUGGGGAAUAUUGGGCAAUGGAGGAAACUCUGACCCAGCAACGCCGCGUGAAUGAUGAAGGUCUUCGGAUUGUAAAGUUCUUUUCUAAGGGAAGAAGAAAGUGACGGUACCUUAGGAAUAAGCCUCGGCUAACUACGUGCCAGCAGCCGCGGUAAUACGUAGGAGGCGAGCGUUAUCCGGAAUGACUGGGCGUAAAGGGUGCGUAGGUGGUUUGGCAAGUUAGUUGCGUAACUCCAAGGCUCAACCUUUAAACUACUAUUAAAACUGUUGGACUUGAGUGCUGGAGAGGCAACCGGAAUUCCGAGUGUAGCGGUGGAAUGCGUAGAUAUAAGGAGGAACACCAGUGGCGAAGGCGGGUUGCUAGACAGUAACUGACGCUGAGGCGCGAAAGCGUGGGGAGCAAACAGGAUUAGAUACCCGGGUAGUC